Long non-coding RNA from Homo sapiens (human), 578 nucleotides. NCBI's taxonomy places the organism in Eukaryota, Metazoa, Chordata, Mammalia, Primates, Hominidae. The record is from Ensembl.
CCACCUCCCGAGUGAGGACUCGACUUGGCGCAGGGCCGAAGCAGAGACAGGGUCUUGCUCUGUCACCCAGGCUGGAGUGCAGUGGUAUGAUCACCACAGCAUUGACAUCCCGGCCUCAGGCGAUCCUCCCACUUCAGCCUCCCAGUAGUUGGGACUACAGGCAUGCGCCGCCACACCUGUUGGGAGCCGAAAAGGCCAAAGGGAUCAUGACCAACUCAGCGUUCCGCUGGAGACUAUAUUAUCAAACUGCAAACUGUUUAUCAUGAAUGCAGGAUGUGGGCACACUCACACUGCCCUGCCACCAAAAGGUUUGCUGAGGGCCUCACUCCCUGGCACCGGGCUCCUUGAAGUUAUCUAUUGAGAAAUCUAGCACCUAUUGUUCGAAGAAUGCAGUCUUGCAAGCCUGCUGUCAAUCAAACUGCUGACCGACAACCCCCCACCGCUCUUGCUAUCUCUUUUGCCUAAUAAAUACGGAGGGCUGUGUAGGAGGACUGUGUAAAGCUCAGGGUCCUUGUCCACUAGAGGCAAGUGCCCCCUGACCCCUUCUUCCAAAUAUACUCUCUUGUCUUUGUCUUUUA